Molecule: long non-coding RNA, 158 nt
Organism: Periophthalmus magnuspinnatus
Lineage: Eukaryota; Metazoa; Chordata; Actinopteri; Gobiiformes; Gobiidae
Exons: 3
Source: RefSeq, a predicted model, not a curated record
AGAGUCCACAGGUCAUCUACAUGAUGCAGCAGCCAAUGAACCCACAGCUUGGCGGCCUCAGCUCGGAGGAGCUCCAGAUCGCAGCUAAAAUGAGCCAGCUGGGCAUGUACACUCUUAUGAAUAACGGUGGUGGAGGAGCAGUGCAGCCUUUGAAUCAU